Molecule: ribosomal RNA, 346 nt
Filed under: uncultured bacterium
Lineage: Bacteria
Description: partial 16S ribosomal RNA
Rfam family: Bacterial small subunit ribosomal RNA
Source: RNAcentral
CCUACGGGAGGCUUCAGUGGGGGAUAUUGCACAAUGGGGGGAACCCUGAUGCAGCGACGCCGCGUGGGUGAAGAAGAGCCUCGGCGCGUAAAGCCCUGUCAGCAGGGAAGAAAAUGACGGUACCUGAAGAAGAAGCCCCGGCUAACUAAGUGCCAGCAGCCGCGGGAAUACGUAGGGGGCAAGCGUUAUCCGGAUUUACUGGGUGUAAAGGGGGCGCAGACGGCGAUGCAAGCCAGGAGUGAAAGCCCGGGGCCCAACCCCGGGACUGCUCUGGGAACUGCGUGGCUGGAGUGCAGGAGGGGCAGUCGGAAUGCCUGGGGUAGCGGUGCAAUGCGUAGAUAUCAGG